RNAcentral lists this ribosomal RNA (460 nucleotides) under uncultured bacterium. Its description in RNAcentral is "partial 16S ribosomal RNA". It matches the Rfam family "Bacterial small subunit ribosomal RNA", at positions 338 to 795 of the family's 1533-position model. The record is from RNAcentral.
CCUACGGGAGGCAGCAGUGAGGAAUAUUGGUCAAUGGGCACUAGCCUGAACCAGCCAAGUAGCGUGAAGGAUGAAUGCCCUAUGGGUUGUAAACUUCUUUUAUAUGGGAAUAAAGUGCAGUAUGUGUACUGCUUUGCAUGUACCUUAUGAAUAAGGAUCGGCUAACUCCGUGCCAGCAGCCGCGGUAAUACGGAGGAUCCGAGCGUUAUCCGGAUUUAUUGGGUUUAAAGGGAGCGUAGGUGGGUUGUUAAGUCAGUGGUGAAAGUUUGCGGCUCAACCGUAAAAUUGCAGUUGAUACUGGCAGCCUUGAGUAUAGUAGAGGUAGGCGGAAUUCGUGGUGUAGCGGUGAAAUGCUUAGAUAUCACGAAGAACUCCGAUUGCGAAGGCAGCCUGCUGGGCUAUAACUGACGCUGAUGCUCGAAAGUGUGGGUAUCAAACAGGAUUAGAUACCCUUGUAGUC